UAGGUGCAUCCAAAAAACGUGGUCAG
This 26-nucleotide non-coding RNA is filed under the name Mus musculus (house mouse). Lineage: Eukaryota; Metazoa; Chordata; Mammalia; Rodentia; Muridae. The record is from RNAcentral.